This 85-nucleotide transfer RNA is filed under the name Sulfurimonadaceae bacterium. RNAcentral describes it as "tRNA-Leu". It matches the Rfam family "tRNA". Rfam says of the family: Transfer RNA (tRNA) molecules are approximately 80 nucleotides in length. Their secondary structure includes four short double-helical elements and three loops (D, anti-codon, and T loops). Further hydrogen bonds mediate the characteristic L-shaped molecular structure. tRNAs have two regions of fundamental functional importance: the anti-codon, which is responsible for specific mRNA codon recognition, and the 3' end, to which the tRNAs corresponding amino acid is attached (by aminoacyl-tRNA synthetases). tRNAs cope with the degeneracy of the genetic code in two manners: having more than one tRNA (with a specific anti-codon) for a particular amino acid; and 'wobble' base-pairing, i.e. permitting non-standard base-pairing at the 3rd anti-codon position. The record is from RNAcentral. Lineage: Bacteria; Pseudomonadati; Campylobacterota; Epsilonproteobacteria; Campylobacterales; Sulfurimonadaceae.
GCCGAUGUGGUGAAAUGGUAGACACACUAGAUUCAAAAUCUGGCGCUCUCUGGGCAUGGCGGUUCGAGUCCGCCCAUCGGUACCA